UCGUGGUGUAGCGGUAGCACACUCGGCGCGUAUUCGAGAGGUCCAGGUUCGAGUCCCGGCGA
Molecule: transfer RNA, 62 nt
Filed under: Stegodyphus mimosarum
Lineage: Eukaryota; Metazoa; Arthropoda; Arachnida; Araneae; Eresidae
Rfam family: tRNA
About the family: Transfer RNA (tRNA) molecules are approximately 80 nucleotides in length. Their secondary structure includes four short double-helical elements and three loops (D, anti-codon, and T loops).
Source: Rfam by way of RNAcentral